GAUGAACGCUGGCGGCGUGCUUAACACAUGCAAGUCGAACGGUGAAGGCGGAGCUUGCUCUGCUGGAUCAGUGGCGAACGGGUGAGUAACACGUGAGCAAUCUGCCCCUGACUCUGGGAUAAGCGCUGGAAACGGCGUCUAAUACUGGAUACGAGCUGCGAAGGCAUCUUCAGCAGCUGGAAAGAACUUCGGUCAGGGAUGAGCUCGCGGCCUAUCAGCUUGUUGGUGAGGUAACGGCUCACCAAGGCGUCGACGGGUAGCCGGCCUGAGAGGGUGACCGGCCACACUGGGACUGAGACACGUCCCAGACUCCUCCGGGAGGCAGCAGUGGGGAAUAUUGCACAAUGGGCGAAAGCCUGAUGCAGCCACCCCGCGUGAGGGACGACGGCCUUCGGGUUGUAAACCUCUUUUAGCAGGGAAGAAGCGAAAGUGACGGUACCUGCAGAAAAAGCGCCGGCUAACUACGUG
RNAcentral lists this ribosomal RNA (468 nucleotides) under uncultured bacterium. Its description in RNAcentral is "partial 16S ribosomal RNA". It matches the Rfam family "Bacterial small subunit ribosomal RNA", at positions 28 to 507 of the family's 1533-position model. The record is from RNAcentral.